This 7690-nucleotide long non-coding RNA is filed under the name Gigantopelta aegis. RNAcentral's name for it is "uncharacterized LOC121383061". Lineage: Eukaryota; Metazoa; Mollusca; Gastropoda; Neomphalida; Peltospiridae. The record is from RNAcentral.
GUGGCCUUACACCUACCCAUUGAGCCCUUAAGAGUUCGCUCUGGGUUGGAGCCGGUACCGGGCUGCGAACCCUGUACCUACCAGCCUGUAGUCCGAUGGCUUAACCACUGCAUCAUCGAUGCCGGUCCCUUUAUUGCAGAGCUCUACCAUUUAUAGUAGAUCUCCCCAAAUUAUUGCAGAGCUCCACCCUUUAUUUCAGAGCUCCGCCCUUUAUUUUAGAGCUCCACCCUUUAUAGUAGAGCUCCACCCUUUUUCAGGGGUCCGCCCUUUAUUGCAGAGCUUUACCAUUUAUAGUAGAUCUCCCCAAAUUAUUUCAGAGUUCACCCUUUAUUUUAGAGUUCCAUCCUUUAUUUUAGAGUUCCACCCUUUAUUGUAGAGCUCCACCCUUUAUUGCAGAGCUUUACCAUUUAUAGUAGAUCUCCCCAAAUUAUUUCAGAGUUCACCCUUUAUUUUAGAGUUCCAUCCUUUAUUGUAGAGCUCCACCCUUUAUUGCAGAGCUUUACCAUUUAUAGUAGAUCUCCCCAAAUUAUUUCAGAGUUCACCCUUUAUUUUAGAGUUCCAUCCUUUAUUGUAGAGCUCCACCCUUUAUUGCAGAGCUUUACCAUUUAUAGUAGAUCUCCCCAAAUUAUUUCAGAGUUCACCCUUUAUUUUAGAGUUCCAUCCUUUAUUGUAGAGCUCCACCCUUUAUUGCAGAGCUUUACCAUUUAUAGUAGAUCUCCCCAAAUUAUUUCAGAGUUCACCCUUUAUUUUAGAGUUCCAUCCUUUAUUUUAGAGUCCCACCCUUUAUUGUAGAGCUCCACUCUUUAUUUAUAGUAGAGUUCCACCCUUUAUUGCUGAGCAGCUGGCUCCACCCAUUAUUAAAAAGCAUUACACUAGUGCAGAGUUCACCCUUUCUUGUAGAGCUACAUUGUAUGUAGAGACACCUUUUGUUAUAGACCUCUACCCCCACUCCGUUAAUGAAGUGCCAUGCUUUACUCGGAGCUCCAACCCGUUUCAGAACUAUAUCCUUUGUUGCAAGGCCAAAAUAACUGAUGUUUAUACAUUAAGUGUAUUGUACAUAAGAAGAAAAACUUUAUAGCAUUAUGUGGUUGUCAAAAUAAGAAAAAUGGCAGCUUUAAGGUGUAAAUUUGACAAACAAAGCGUGUUUUGUCUUUAAUAUAUUUAAUAUACAUAAAUUGUAUCAAAUAAAAUGUACUUUUGUUUCAUUUUAAAAACCAUAUUCAAGACUGAUUAUAGCUAUACAUGUAUGUCACGUACUCAUGGAAAAUUCCAUUCUACUUGUUUUCAUCUGUCUUAAUGUGAUCUGUAACACCAUACUUGUACUUGUCAGGCUUUUGGUGGUUAAUAAGGAAAUAUGGUUUUUGCUAACUUCUAGUAAGAAAUCUUGGAUUCAAGAAUUAUUGAUUGCUCAUUAUAAUUUUUAAAGUGACUGAAGGGGAAAAUGUCUGGUAUCGGAAAUAUUAGUAGUAGUUUUAGGUUUGUUAACCAUUUCCAUAUCAAUGGUUGUAAUGUGAGAAAAUGGUGUUCUAUUCUUUGUUGUUUUCAUAUCCAGUCUUGUUAAUUUUGUAAUUCAGUCAUGUUAAAUGUACAGUUUACUUCAUCAUUCAGCUGUGUUAACUAUUUAGUUCAUUUCAUCAUUCAGCUGUUAACUAUUUAGUUCAUUUCAUCAUUCAGCUGUGUUAACUAUUUAGUUAAUGUCAUCAUUCAGUCAUGUUAACUAUUUAGUUAAUGUCAUCAUUCAGUCAUGUUAACUAUUUAGUUAAUGUCAUCAUUCAGCCAUGUUAACUAUUUAGUUCAUUUCAUCAUUCAGCCAUGUUCACUAUUUUGUUUAUUUCAUCAUUCAGUCAUGUUAACUAUUUUGUUUAUUUCAUCAUUUAGUCUGUUAACUAUUUAAUUCUUGCUAUCAUUCAGUCAUGGUAACUAGUAUAUUUCAUCAUUCAGUCAUGUUAACUAUUUAGUUAAUGUCAUAAUUCAGUCAUGUUAACUAUUUAGUUUGUUUCAUCAUUCAGUCAUGUUAACUAUUUAGUUAAUUUCAUCAUUCAUUCAUAUUAAGAUCAUUUCAUCAUUUAACCAUGUAAACAUGGUUCAGAGAGCAUCAUUAUUAUUCAUUUGAGUUAGCUCAAUUUAUUUAGAUUCAUCACUGAAUCAUCUUUUGAUGGAACUGAAGAGGUACAUGUACAUUUGUGUGAUUAUUAUGUGGAUCAAACGGUGCAGUAGGAUGUACUGAAUUUAACUUGAUUACAAGUUAGUUGACCCACUCCUUGCAGUAAUGAAUAUAACCUGGUCAUAUUUGCUUUGAGAUCUUAGAUCAUAUGGAGUUAAUUAACUUCAUUGUAUAGUAACAUCCGUUACUGUGAUGGAUGAGAUCAUACAUUUUACUGACGUAUGUUUUGUUAAUCAGGUCACCUCAUGUUGUUGCUUUUAAUGUCUGAACAUGGAAUGUUAAACCUUGUAGAUGUGAUAACGCUUUCAAAACACUGCCAUUAUAUGGCGCGGUACACAGCGAAACUAGCAUAUACUUAUCUUAAUAUUGUACAUAUUCAUGCCCGAGUUAUGAAAAGAGUUACGCUUGGGUAACAGUGGGCAUGCAGUUCGGUGCAUGCACAGACCUUUUAUGUAUAUACUUGUAUUAUUUUACCAGGCACUUUUAUAUAUAUGCAAGUGGCUUUGAUCGCUACAAAUCUGUGAUAAAUUAUUAACAUGCCCUCGCUGCAAAUGUUCAUUUGCAAAUUGCAUGCUGAAAUAAGCUUUUCCCAAUGUUCAUUUAUACAUUUGUUCUUUUCAUUCUUCUGCAUUGAGGCAUUACUCAUUGAGUGCAGGGUUUUAGGGGAUUUUGUCAGUUGAUUAGGUACCAUGUUUUGGGGGGUUUUGUCGGUUGAUUAGGUACCAUGUUUUGGGGGGUUUUGUCAGUUGAUUAGGUACCAUGUUUUGGGGGGUUUUGUCAGUUGAUUAGGUACCAUGUUUGGGUAUUUAUGAGGGGUGAUCAAAUAGUUCUUGGCCUAAGACCACUUGGUCUGUGAUUAUUUGUUGCUCUUUGAAGUAAUCGCCUUGAAGGUUCACUCUCUUCUGCCAACAGUGCCUGAAUCCCUCUGAUAAAGGAUUCCUCCUGCAUUGGAAAUGACAUCAUUCUUAGUUGCAUAAUGUCUGCCUGAUAAGUCUGUUCAAGUUGGGAUAUAGAUAGAAUUAUAGAUCUGGGGAUGAGGGCAGACCGUAGCCCAGUGAUAAAGCACUCGCCGGAUGUGUGGUCAGUCUAGGAUCAAUCCCCAUCAGUGGGCCAGUUGGGCUAUUUCUCCUUCCAGCCUGUACACCACGACUGGUAUAUCAAAGGUAUAUGCUAUCCUAUCUAUGGUAUGGUGCAUAUAAAAGAUCCCUUCCUACUAAUGAUUAAGACAUCAGUGUGCUCAAGUGGUGUCAUUAAACAAAAAGAAAUCUAGAUCUGGGGAAUACAGUGAUGAUUGGUAAGAUGGAAACCCAUCAUGUAGUCAGCAGGUUCAUUGUCCUCAUGGAACAGCACAGCUUUGUGAAAGCUGCAUGGACAGCUCAUCCAUCAGAAUAUUCUCGCUUCUUUUUUUACAAGAUGCCCACCGGGUGGUUAGCCAUUGGUCUUAUAUAAUCCUAGUUAGGCCGAGAACAUUUUUAUCACCCCUCAGUCAUAUAGUAAUUAGUACAUGAAACUAUAAAUUGGCCAACUAGUUUUAUCUGAACUGACUGAUGCAGCGGUGUUUAUUCGGCAACUCCUAAAGCCCAGAGGUGUUGGUUCGUCUAACUCAUUUUACAUUUUACACUAGUCACAGCAUUCAAGCAGGCAGUAAAAUCAGGGUUGAAAAUGCAUUUAAGCAUGGUGGCCAGAUAAAUUAGUGUUACUGGUCCUUAAUAAAUUUAAAUAGCCCUCAAAUUACUGCAUUAAAAUGAGGAACUUGUUAGUAAUUACACACAAACAAAAUGGCCAAUUUAUAACUCGCAUUAUCUUUUUCAGUCCAAUAUUUUUUGUUGUUGUUUUUUAAAACAGAGUCACAGGCUGGACUAGCAUUUUAAAAUUUCGCCUUUUAGUCUGUAAAGGUUGCCUUGGGCAACCGGGCCCUGUGCUUAUAAACCUUAAAGUCUAGACUUAUUAAAGUCCAAACUUUAACAUCAUGGCAACGCCAUUCAAAUAGCAUUACAUUAAAGUCUGGACUUUAUUGAAGUCUAGACUAAGUUUUAUAAGCACAGACCCUGUGGUGACUAGAUUGUUAACACUGUAAAACGGACUGAAAAUUAUCUGUGUGGCCACCUAUGUUGAGUUGUCUUUCUUGUUGCUUUGCUCACUGUAGACGUAUUAACCAAGUAGAUCAGUCUGUUUCUAUGUUAUCUAGUUCAGUUGGUAGAGUGCUCACCUGAUGUGCUUGGGUUAAAGGAUCAAGUCCCCUCGGUGGACCUAUUCUCUGAUUGGGUUUUCCCCUCUUUCCCAACCAGUAUCCCAUGGAUGGUAUUUCAAAGGCUUUGGUAUGUGCUGUCCUGUCUGGGAAAGUGCACAUAAAGAUAGCUUGGUGCUAAUGGGAAAAUGUAGCAAGUUUUCUCACUUUGAUGGUUACAGAUUCAGAAUGGUACCAUUAAGGUGGCAUUUUAUGACAGCAGGGGCCUAAUUCACUAAACUCUCGCAACUUUGCGAUCUCGCAGUGCAAUGCUAAAAGACUUGCAAAGAGGAUGCUUUGUUGUCUAGCAGAGCCUAAGAGACCUUUGUGAAUCAGGCCCAGGUCAAUUUGUACUACAUUAGGUCAUGUUGAUGGUAACAGAUUCAGAAUGGUACCUUUACGGUGGCAUUUCAUGACAGCAGGUCAAUUUGUACUACAUUAGAUCACUUUGAUGGUUACAGAUUCAGAAUUGUACCUUUACGGUGGCAUUUCAUGAUGUCAGGUCAGUUUGUACUACAUUAGGACACUGAAGAUUACAGAUUCAGAACGGUACCUUUAAGGUGGCAUUUCAUGACAGCAGGUCAAUUUGUACUACAUUAGGUCACUUUGAUGGUUACAGAUUCAGAAUGGUACCUUUAAGGUGGCAUUUCAUGACAGCAGGUCAAUUUUACUAUGUGGGCUUUCAAGACAGGUGGCUGUUUUAGUUAAUAGAGGUGGGGUUUUUUUUUUUAGUUAGGUUUGUUUCCUGUUAGUCAGCUCAAACUGCUAGCUACUUUUGUUGGUGUUAUGUUUUACCUCAUGUACAUGACAUUGUAUGUAAACCAUGUAAUGUAGUAUCCGUGUAUGUUUAUCGUUUUCAAAUCAGGAACAUUGGUGAUGUUUUCAAACAAACGAUAUUACUGUUUUAAAAACACAAACAAUAUUACUGUUUUCAAAACACAAACAAUAUUACUGUUUUCAAGCACAAACAAUAUUGCUCUUUUCAAACACAAACAUAAUCAAGGCUCGGAAUUGACAUACAGAAUACAGAAUAUGCUUUCUGACGAUCCGUUUUCACAAGCAGCUUUUACUUUCCAUCUUUUCUGGGGGUCUGUGUUUGUGUCUUUGGACACUUAUUUCAGAUGUAUUAAGAAUUCCUAAUUUUUAGGAGUGAUAACAUAAAUGAUAAUCUUUUCUUAAUGUUUGUCUUAAGUCUUCCACAUUGCUGUUAAAGAAGCUGCACAUCGGUAAACAUUUUGAGACUCUUUUCCUAGAGCUGCUUCUCACUUUCUAGCUUCUGCUUCCAGAUUAAAAUCUUAGAUGCAGUGAUUGCUUCCCACUUCACAACAUGAAUUACGAGCCUUGAUUGUUGUUUUCAAAACAGGAACAUUAUGUACUCUGCUUGCUGCCAAGUAGAUCAAAUACUUGUAUUGUUCAGAUCCAAUAGACAUCUUCAAUAUACAUGUACUAGUAUAUAUAUAUGAACUGCCAAAUGGAAACUCCUUAUUUCAGUUCAAACUUCGAUCAAUGUCUCCCCAGUAUACUUAUAAUGAAAUAACCGAAACCAACCCAUGUUUUAAAUUUUGACAGUGACAAGUAAUAAGGGGUCCUCUCUUGACACUCCAUGACUGGUAUAUCAAUGGCCUAUUUGGGGGAAAGAGCAUUGAAAUAUCCCAUGUUGCUAAUGAAAAUAAAAAUGUAGCUGGUUUCCUCUCAAGACUACAUAUUAGACUUGCUAAAUAUUUGACAUCCAAUACCCGAGGAUUAAUUACUCAAUGUGCUCUAGUGGUGUCAUUAAACAAAACAAACUUUAAUUCCUGACUCUACACUUAAGCAACAAGCAAAUAGUUAAAUGUGUUCAAAGCAGGAACAUUAUUAAUGUUCUAUGGUGAAGAAGUACAUUUUCUCUACAUUGUUAGUAAUUAUGGUUUUGUGUAGCCCAGUCCACCAGUUGUAACAAAAAAUGUGUGUCCAAAUGUUUUAGCCAUUUUGAACAAAUUAUUCUGAAGCUCUAUUUUAUAUCUAAUUUUUGGUAAUAUGAUACACAUGUUCAUCUAAUUUCAAAAACAAAACCAUCCUCCUCGAAUGCAACAAAACCUGAAAAACCCCAAUCCCAAACCAGACAUGUUAUUUAGCUUCCUCCAACAAUGAGUUUGGUUAAACAAAUACUGACAUUAAUUGUUGCUACAGAAUAGCAUAGUAUUAAGAGUAUUAAGGUGGCUUAAACCAUAACCAAAUUAGCACCUUUAUCGGAAUAUUUGUGUUCAGUUUAUACAUGUUUUUGUUUCUGUAACUGAAUUGACAUAUUAAUCUAUGUCUAAGGCAGUAUUUACAAAUUGCAUUUUCAUUGUCUAAUCAAGGACAGAUACUGGUAUUUCUUAAAUAUCUGUACAACAGAUUGAUCAAUGUUCACACAUUUGUAUUGCAGUAAUGUCUUUUUUCUUCUUACUCUCUCCCCUCCCCCCAGCAUUUUAUGCUCAUUGUAAUUGUUCCACAACUGAUCACAUUGGUGUGUGUGGUGGGGAUGGGGGUGGUGGAGACAUAGCCCAUUGGGAAAUCACUCCACUAAUACGCAGACUAAUGCAGUCGUGUACCUGUAUAUUUAUAUUUCUGCAUUUUUAUUUUAUUUUUGUUUUUAGUGCUUCCAAACUUAUCAUCUACAAACUUCCACCCAGAAUUGUUUGGGGGUGGGGGUGAGGUGGCAAUGUUUUAUAUAUUUGCCCGAUAAAAUUAAAUUUGUUUCAUAUCAUGUUUGCUUAGGGAAAUAGGUGACAGAAGAUGGCAGAAUAAUUGUUUUAUGACUGGUGGGUGUAAUGCACCAAUUUCUACCAGGCAUAAAAGAAUUUUGGUGUCUUCCCCCCUCACCCCCACCCCCAUCUCCAUAAGUGAUCAGUUCUUGAACCACCCAAAGCAUUAUGGAUCCGUUGAUAACUAGUUUUAUCUCUUGUACAUAACUGUUUCUUCAUAGUAAUCAGUUUGCUAUGGUAACACCAUGGCUAUAGUAGCUUUUAUUUCACUUUACACAAAGGACUGAUUCUCACCUCAACUUUGUUUCCCUCACGAGCCAGAGGCGCCGCAAUAAUUAAAUGAAAUAGUGAAGGAAUCUGUGAAGAGAUGUAUUAAUAUUACACUGUAAAUAGUCACUCUGUGCUGUAUAUUUUAGAAACGGACGAUGAUCGGACAUUUGUGUACAGGUAUUAAUGUCACUGGUACUACGCAAGCUACGUACAUAUGUAUAUGUAUUUUAUAUGCAUUGAUUGAAUGAUGUUGUACAUGUAUGCAGAAACAUAUGAAUCAUUUUAUUAAAUAUAUGAAUGCCA